RNAcentral lists this ribosomal RNA (558 nucleotides) under uncultured bacterium. RNAcentral's name for it is "bacterial SSU rRNA". It matches the Rfam family "Bacterial small subunit ribosomal RNA", at positions 8 to 560 of the family's 1533-position model. The record is from RNAcentral.
AGAGUUUGAUCAUGGCUCAGGAUGAACGCUAGCUACAGGCUUAACACAUGCAAGUCGAGGGGCAUCAGGAUGUAGCAAUACAUUGCUGGCGACCGGCGCACGGGUGAGUAACACGUAUCCAACCUACCGGUUAUUCCGGGAUAGCCUUUCGAAAGAAAGAUUAAUACCGGAUAGUAUAACGAGAAGGCAUCUUUUUGUUAUUAAAGAAUUUCGAUAACCGAUGGGGAUGCGUUCCAUUAGUUUGUUGGCGGGGUAACGGCCCACCAAGACAUCGAUGGAUAGGGGUUCUGAGAGGAAGGUCCCCCACAUUGGAACUGAGACACGGUCCAAACUCCUACGGGAGGCAGCAGUGAGGAAUAUUGGUCAAUGGACGAGAGUCUGAACCAGCCAAGUAGCGUGAAGGAUGACUGCCCUAUGGGUUGUAAACUUCUUUUAUAUGGGAAUAAAGUGAGCCACGUGUGGCUUUUUGUAUGUACCAUACGAAUAAGGAUCGGCUAACUCCGUGCCAGCAGCCGCGGUAAUACGGAGGAUCCGAGCGUUAUCCGGAUUUAUUGGGUU